UUCUUCAGGGUUGGGUGCGAUUCCCUACUGGCGGUAUAGUCCGCGAACCGAGAGAGUGAUCUCAAGGCCGAUCCGGUGAAACUCCGAAACCAACAGUACAGUCUGGAUGAAAGAAGAA
RNAcentral lists this non-coding RNA (118 nucleotides) under uncultured Acetatifactor sp. RNAcentral describes it as "FMN riboswitch (RFN element)". It matches the Rfam family "FMN riboswitch aptamer (RFN element)". Rfam says of the family: The RFN element is a highly conserved domain that is found frequently in the 5'-untranslated regions of prokaryotic mRNAs that encode for flavin mononucleotide (FMN) biosynthesis and transport proteins. The record is from RNAcentral. Lineage: Bacteria; Bacillati; Bacillota; Clostridia; Lachnospirales; Lachnospiraceae.